AUCUUUGUUGUUGGGUGGUUGGGGUUUGGCAGAGUAGUGCAGAGAGCCAGAAUAAAAUGGAAAACAAAAACGAAAAGAAAGACUUAGAGAUAAUCGAUUACAAGAUUGAAACUUGCGAUCAAGAAAUUGAGUCUCUAAGGCCAGAGCGUGUCCAGGCAGAACCUUGACUCCGCCAGAUCUUCAUCUUCCACAGUUGCUUGUAAAUAGCUGUUAGUCUCCAGCUUCAAUUGGUUCUGGUCAGCGAAAUAUGUUGAGGAGGGGAACUGACUGAGUAUUGUUUCCACAGAAUCAGAGUUUUGGUGUUUGAGAUGAAGAAGUUGAGUUACCAGAAGAACAAGAGUUGCCAUCAAAAACAAAAGCAAAGAUUUAAGUUAUCUGAGAGCUAUUGAUCGAUGUAUGAAUUGAUUAGUUUCUGAACACGUUAUGUGCCAUUUAUAAUAAAUGGAAAAAAAACAGGGAAUGUCAUGCCCAUUGAUUAUUCAUAA
Molecule: long non-coding RNA, 485 nt
Organism: Pistacia vera
Lineage: Eukaryota; Viridiplantae; Streptophyta; Magnoliopsida; Sapindales; Anacardiaceae
Exons: 2
Source: RefSeq, a predicted model, not a curated record